CCCUUAGAUGUCCUGGGCCGCACGCGCGUUACACUGAUGCAUUCAACGAGCUUAUAACCUUGGCCGAGAGGCCUGGGCAAUCUUGUUAACGUGCAUCGUGAUAGGGAUAGAUUAUUGAAAUUAUUAAUCUUGAACGAGGAAUUCCUAGUAAACGCAGAUCAUCAAUCUGCAUUGAUUACGUCCCUGCCCUUUGUACACACCGCCCGUCGCACCUACCGAUUGGAUGGUCCGGUGAAGCCUCGGGAUUGUGGUUCUUGCCGCUUUGUUGUGGCGUGACCGCGAGAACUUGUCUAAACCUUAUCACCUAGAGGAAGGUGAAGUCGUAACA
RNAcentral lists this ribosomal RNA (328 nucleotides) under uncultured eukaryote. RNAcentral describes it as "partial 18S ribosomal RNA". It matches the Rfam family "Eukaryotic small subunit ribosomal RNA", at positions 1470 to 1796 of the family's 1831-position model. The record is from RNAcentral.